CAUAUUCGCACCCCUCCUGAAGCUCAAAUCGGAGGAGAGGCUCUGACCCCCGUUCUCUGCCCGAGCUCGGAUCUCCGCUUCCAUCUCCGGCACCGGUGAACGCUCCGGUUACCAGGUGUUGAAGUGUUUUUCAUUUCAAGAAACCAAUGCUCUAUGAAGAAAAAACUAAGGAUGAUGCCCCUGCAUGUCUUUACUGUGUCUUUGUGCGCACACAACUUUGGAAACUAUAAGAAAAUAGACAAUCAAGUCGAAACAGAUUGAAGCAUCGGGGGCCUGAUUGGAGUGGGCUGUACCAGCAUGGAGACUGCUUUUUGGCUCAUCAAAGACUAGCUAUUAUUGAUCCUUCUUCAGGGGACCAGCCUCUGUUUAACUAAGACAGGAAGAUAGUUGUAAUGCCCUGCUUUAGGCUAGUUAGUUGGAGUAUACCAUAAACCUGUGUUUAAUAUAUUAACAUACCCUUGAAGACUAAAGAGGAGAGAGAGAGUUCGUAGCCAUAGCCAAACAACAUUUGUACCAAAGCAUACAAAUUAAUAAUAAAGUGUUUGAAAAUUCAGCUUUC
Molecule: long non-coding RNA, 559 nt
Organism: Nelumbo nucifera (sacred lotus)
Lineage: Eukaryota; Viridiplantae; Streptophyta; Magnoliopsida; Proteales; Nelumbonaceae
Source: RefSeq, a predicted model, not a curated record